CCCUUAGAUGUCCUGGGCCGCACGCGCGCUACACUGACAUGUUCAACAAGCCUCCUAGUUCGACAGGAUUUGGGAAAUCUUUGAACGCAUGUCGUGAUAGGGAUAGAUCAUUGCAAUUAUUGAUCUUGAACGAGGAAUUCCUAGUAAACGCGAGUCAUCAGCUCGCAUUGAUUACGUCCCUGCCCUUUGUACACACCGCCCGUCGCACCUACCGAUUGAACGGUUUAGUGAGGGCCUCGGAUUGGUCUCGGCCCGCUCUUUACCGGGCGGCGCCGUUGGUCGAGAAGACGCUCGAACUUGAUCGUUUAGAGGAAGUAAAAGUCGUAACA
RNAcentral lists this ribosomal RNA (329 nucleotides) under uncultured eukaryote. RNAcentral describes it as "partial 18S ribosomal RNA". It matches the Rfam family "Eukaryotic small subunit ribosomal RNA", at positions 1470 to 1796 of the family's 1831-position model. The record is from RNAcentral.